CGGCGCACGGGUGCGUAACGCGUAUGCAAUCUACCUUUUACAGAGGGAUAGCCCAGAGAAAUUUGGAUUAAUACCUCAUAGUAUGUGAGAAUCGCAUGGUUUUCACAUUAAAGUUCCAACGGUAUAAGAUGAGCAUGCGUCCCAUUAGUUAGUUGGUAAGGUAACGGCUUACCAAGACAGCGAUGGGUAGGGGCCCUGAGAGGGGGAUCCCCCACACUGGUACUGAGACACGGACCAGACUCC
RNAcentral lists this ribosomal RNA (243 nucleotides) under uncultured bacterium. RNAcentral describes it as "partial 16S ribosomal RNA". It matches the Rfam family "Bacterial small subunit ribosomal RNA", at positions 96 to 339 of the family's 1533-position model. The record is from RNAcentral.